CGAUGCAGGCAUUGGUUCGUGGGCAACCCGGCAUGGAUGCCGGGUUAGCCGCGCUGGGCCAUGGAUGGCCCUUCGCGGCGGCCCACGAACCAAUGCCGGAGUGA
Pseudomonas fluorescens is the source of this 104-nucleotide non-coding RNA. NCBI's taxonomy places the organism in Bacteria, Pseudomonadati, Pseudomonadota, Gammaproteobacteria, Pseudomonadales, Pseudomonadaceae. The record is from Rfam.